CCUACGGGAGGCAGCAGUAGGGAAUCUUCCACAAUGGGCGAAAGCCUGAUGGAGCAACGCCGCGUGGGUGAAGAAGGUCUUCGGAUCGUAAAACCCUGUUGAUAGAGAAGAAAGUGCGGGAGAGUAACUGUUCACGUGUCGACGGUAUCUAACCAGAAAGCCACGGCUAACGACGUGCCAGCAGCCGCGGUAAGACGUAGGUGGCAAGCGUUAUCCGGAUUUAUUGGGCGUAAAGGGAACGCAGGCGGUCUUUUAAGUCUGAUGUGAAAGCCUUCGGCUUAACCGGAGUAGGGCAUUGGAAACUUGGAGCCUUUCGUGCAGCCGAGUGGACUGUCACUCCAUGUGUAGCGGUGACAUGCGUCGCUAUCUG
This 370-nucleotide ribosomal RNA is filed under the name uncultured bacterium. RNAcentral's name for it is "partial 16S ribosomal RNA". It matches the Rfam family "Bacterial small subunit ribosomal RNA", at positions 338 to 700 of the family's 1533-position model. The record is from RNAcentral.